RNAcentral lists this long non-coding RNA (219 nucleotides) under Zostera marina. RNAcentral's name for it is "long non-coding RNA (ZMAR_LNC000276)". Lineage: Eukaryota; Viridiplantae; Streptophyta; Magnoliopsida; Alismatales; Zosteraceae. The record is from RNAcentral.
UGGGGUUUGAAAUGGGAAAGUCGAAAAUGAGGAGGAGGAGUUGGAGGCCGAAGAUAAGUGGGGUUUUAAAUGGGAAAGUCUGAAAUGGGCAGUAUGGAGGAAGAAGACGGAAGUUUUUGAUUUGACAUGAAAAGACAUGACUUUUUUAGAUGUAGUAGGAUGAUUAACGGACAGGAUGGGAACGCACAUACGUAUGCUGAAAAUUACCAUAAAUUUAUA